CCUACGGGUGGCAGCAGUGAGGAAUAUUGGUCAAUGGCCGGAAGGCUGAACCAGCCAAGCCGCGUGAAGGACGAAGGUGCCAAGCAUUGUAAACUUCUUUUGUCAAGGGACAAAAUCAGGCUCGAGAGCCUGACCGAGGGUACUUGAAGAAAAAGCAUCGGCUAACUCCGUGCCAGCAGCCGCGGUAAUACGGAGGAUGCGAGCGUUAUCCGGAUUUAUUGGGUUUAAAGGGUGCGUAGGCGGACUGUUAAGUCAGCGGUAAAAGCCCGGGGCUCAAACCCGGCGGGCCGUGGAAACUGGCUGUCUUGAGAUGUCGAGAGGUAUGCGGAAUGCGCAGUGUAGCGGUGAAAUGCGUAGAUAUUGCGCAGAACUCCGAUUGCGAAGGCAGCAUACCGGCGGCGAUCUGACGCUGAGGCACGAAAGCGUGGGUAGCGAACAGGAUUAGAUACCCCAGUAGUC
This 459-nucleotide ribosomal RNA is filed under the name uncultured bacterium. RNAcentral describes it as "partial 16S ribosomal RNA". It matches the Rfam family "Bacterial small subunit ribosomal RNA", at positions 338 to 795 of the family's 1533-position model. The record is from RNAcentral.